Molecule: transfer RNA, 85 nt
Filed under: Felis catus (domestic cat)
Lineage: Eukaryota; Metazoa; Chordata; Mammalia; Carnivora; Felidae
Rfam family: tRNA
About the family: Transfer RNA (tRNA) molecules are approximately 80 nucleotides in length.
Source: Rfam by way of RNAcentral
ACCUGAGUGGCUCAGUUGGUUGAGCGUCUGACUUCAGCUCAGGUCAUGAUCUCAUGGUUUGUGGGUUCGAGCCCCACAUCGGGCU